Molecule: ribosomal RNA, 241 nt
Filed under: uncultured bacterium
Lineage: Bacteria
Description: partial 16S ribosomal RNA
Rfam family: Bacterial small subunit ribosomal RNA
Source: RNAcentral
CAUGCCCUAAACGAUGAUUACUCGAUGUGUGCGAUACACAGUACGCGUCUAAGCGAAAGCAUUAAGUAAUCCACCUGGGAAGUACGACCGCAAGGUUGAAACUCAAAGGAAUUGACGGGGGCCCGCACAAGCGGAGGAGCAUGUGGUUUAAUUCGAUGAUACGCGAGGAACCUUACCCGGGCUUGAAAGUUAUGGAAUGAUGUGGAAACAUGUCAGUCAGCAAUGACCAGAAACUAGGUGC